This 69-nucleotide transfer RNA is filed under the name Ictidomys tridecemlineatus (thirteen-lined ground squirrel). Its description in RNAcentral is "Spermophilus tridecemlineatus (thirteen-lined ground squirrel) tRNA". It matches the Rfam family "tRNA". Rfam says of the family: Transfer RNA (tRNA) molecules are approximately 80 nucleotides in length. Their secondary structure includes four short double-helical elements and three loops (D, anti-codon, and T loops). Further hydrogen bonds mediate the characteristic L-shaped molecular structure. tRNAs have two regions of fundamental functional importance: the anti-codon, which is responsible for specific mRNA codon recognition, and the 3' end, to which the tRNAs corresponding amino acid is attached (by aminoacyl-tRNA synthetases). tRNAs cope with the degeneracy of the genetic code in two manners: having more than one tRNA (with a specific anti-codon) for a particular amino acid; and 'wobble' base-pairing, i.e. permitting non-standard base-pairing at the 3rd anti-codon position. The record is from Rfam by way of RNAcentral. Lineage: Eukaryota; Metazoa; Chordata; Mammalia; Rodentia; Sciuridae.
GGGAUUGUGGCUCAUCGGUAGAGCGCUCGCCUCGCAUGCGCAGGGCCCUGAGUUUGAUCCUCAGCACCA